RNAcentral lists this ribosomal RNA (435 nucleotides) under uncultured Lachnospiraceae bacterium. RNAcentral's name for it is "bacterial SSU rRNA". It matches the Rfam family "Bacterial small subunit ribosomal RNA", at positions 341 to 792 of the family's 1533-position model. Lineage: Bacteria; Bacillati; Bacillota; Clostridia; Lachnospirales; Lachnospiraceae. The record is from RNAcentral.
ACGGGAGGCAGCAGUGGGGAAUAUUGCACAAUGGGGGAAACCCUGAUGCAGCGACGCCGCGUGAGUGAUGACGUAUUUCGGUAUGUAAAGCUCUUUAAGCAGGGAAGACAGUGACGGUACCUGCAGAAUAAGCACCGGCUAAAUACGUGCCAGCAGCCGCGGUAAUACGUAUGGUGCAAGCGUUAUCCGGAUUUACUGGGUGUAAAGGGAGCGUAGGUGGCCUGGCAAGCCAGAGGUGAAAACCCGGGGCUCAACCCCGCGGAUUGCCUUUGGAACUGUUGGGCUGGAGUGCAGGAGGGGUAAGCGGAAUUCCCAGUGUAGCGGUGAAAUGCGUAGAUAUUGGGAAGAACACCGGCGGCGAAGGCGGCUUACUGGACUGCUACUGACACUGAGGCUCGAAAGCGUGGGGAGCAAACAGGAUUAGAUACCCUGGUA